Molecule: ribosomal RNA, 510 nt
Filed under: uncultured bacterium
Lineage: Bacteria
Description: partial 16S ribosomal RNA
Rfam family: Bacterial small subunit ribosomal RNA
Source: RNAcentral
GACGAACGCUGGCGGCGUGCUUAACACAUGCAAGUCGAACGAAGAGCGAUGGAAGCUUGCUUCUCUCAAUCUUAGUGGCGAACGGGUGAGUAACGCGUAAUCAACCUGCCCUUCAGAGGGGGACAACAGUUGGAAACGACUGCUAAUACCGCAUACGAUCUAAUCUCGGCAUCGAGGAUGGAUGAAAGGUGGCCUCUACAUGUAAGCUAUCACUGAAGGAGGGGAUUGCGUCUGAUUAGCUAGUUGGAGGGGUAACGGCCCACCAAGGCGAUGAUCAGUAGCCCGGCUGAGAGGAGUAACCGCCACAUUGGGACUGAGACACGGCCCAGACGUCCUCGGGAGGGAGCAGUGGGGAAUCUUCCGCAAUGGACGAAAGUCUGACGGAGCAACGCCGCGUGAGGGAUGACGGCCUUCGGGUUGUAAAGCUCGGUUAAUCGGGACGAAAGGCCUUCUUGCGAAUAGGGAGAAGGAUUGACGGUACCGGAAUAGAAAGCCACGGCUAACUACGUG